This 689-nucleotide long non-coding RNA is filed under the name Marmota monax (woodchuck). Lineage: Eukaryota; Metazoa; Chordata; Mammalia; Rodentia; Sciuridae. The record is from RNAcentral.
CAAAACCAGUCCAAACCCCGGCUCCCCCGGGUGGCGCUGUGUGACACAUUCCUACCCUCUCUCUACCUCGGCUGUCUCAUCUGCCAAGUGGAAGAAUAAGGAACCCUGAAAUCCUACGGAGGACUGCCGUGAGCACUGGCGGUCACAGCGGAUCAAGACUGGGGCACGCAGGACCCGGUUCCUUCCGCAUCUUCUCACGAAUCCUUUGGCCCCAGACAGGAGGAGCCCAGGCAGCCUAAGAGUCUGCACUGUUAGUUGAAUGGCGCUUCCAGGUCUGCUGGCCCGUGAUGCUCAGGGAGUCCGAUGGCCACCUUGGGUCCCCUUUCAUUGUUCCUUCCCAGAAAGGAAGGUGGUUGCUCUCGUCUGAAUGGGUCCCCCAAAAAGGCACGUGUUGGAAACUUCACCCCAGUGCAGCAGUGUUGGGGGACGGGGCCAGAUGACGUCACAGGGGCAGGAGUGGAGGGAUUCACAGGGGCAGGACUGGGUGCACGUGGUUAUGGAGGGAGUGGGCUGCCAUCUCCACAGUGGGUUCAGCUCCCUCUCUGGCCUUCCCUCCCUGUCCUGUUCCCCUUCCUCUCUCCAUCUCUCGCUCUUCAGCUUCCUGCCAGGGGACGAUGCAGAACAAAUCCCUCACCACAGGCCAAGUGUGGCCUUCUUGCUCUUGGACUUCCCGGGCUCCAGAUGAUAAG